RNAcentral lists this ribosomal RNA (1229 nucleotides) under uncultured bacterium. RNAcentral describes it as "bacterial SSU rRNA". It matches the Rfam family "Bacterial small subunit ribosomal RNA", at positions 271 to 1482 of the family's 1533-position model. The record is from RNAcentral.
AGGCUGUGAUGGGUAGCCGGCCUGAGAGGGCGUACGGCCACAUUGGGACUGAGACACGGCCCAGACUCCUGCGGGAGGCAGCAGUAGGGAAUCUUCCGCAAUGGGCGAAAGCCUGACGGAGCGAUGCCACGUGGAUGACGGAGGCCUUCGGGUCGUAAAAUCCUGUCAGGGGGGACGAUGGUCAAUUUUCGGAUUGAUUGACGGUACCUCCAGAGGAAGCUCCGGCCAACUACGUGCCAGCAGCCGCGGUAAUACGUAGGGAGCAAGCGUUGUUCGGAUUUACCGGGCGUAAAGAGUGCGUAGGCGGUCAGGUAAGUCAGAGGUGAAAUCUCUGCUCUUAAGGCAGAAACUGCCUUUGAUACUGCUUGACUCGAGGACAGGAGAGGGAAGUGGAACUCUGGAAGUAGCGGUGAAAUGCGUAGAUAUUCAGGGGAACGCCGGUGGCGAAAGCGGCUUUCUAGUCUGUCCCUGACGCUGAGGCACGAAAGCUAGGGUAGCGAUCGGGAUUAGAGACCCCGGUAGUCCUAGCCGUAAACGAUGGGUACUAAGUGUGGGGGGGGAGCAUUACUCUCCGUGCUGAAGCUAACGUGUUAAGUACCCCGCCUGGGGGAGUACGGUCGCAAGACUGAAACUCAAAAGAAUUGACGGGGGGCUGAACAAGCAGUGGAGCACGUGGUUUAAUUCGACGCAAAACGAAGAACCUUACCAGGACUUGACAUGCCAGUAGUAGCGACCUGAAAGGGAAGCGAUCCUUAUCUUAGGAUAGGGAAGCUAGCACAGGUGGUGCAUGGCUGUCGUCAGCUCGUGCCGUGAGGUGUUGGGUUAAGUCCCUUAACCAGCGCAACCCUUGCUUCUAGUUGCCAGCGGGUAAUGCCGGGCACUCUAGAGGGACCGCCGCCAGAAAGCGGAGGAAGGUGGGGAUGACGUCAAGUCAUCACGCCCCUUAUGUCCUGGGCUACACACGUGCUACAAUGGCCAUGACAGAGAGAAGCAAGGGAGCGAUCUUGAGCGAAUCUCAAAAAAUGGUCCCAGUCCGGAUUGCAGGCUGCAAUUCGCCUGCAUGAAGUCGGAAUUGCUAGUAAUCGCAGAUCAGCUAUGCUGCGGUGAAUACGUUCUCAGCCCUUGUACACACCGCCCGUCACACCACCUGAGUUGGCUAUACCCGAAGAUACCUGACCAACCGGCUUGCCGGAGGAAGAGUAUCCAAGGUGUAUCUGGCAAGGGGGAUG